This is a long non-coding RNA of Amphimedon queenslandica, 168 nucleotides long. RefSeq lists it as uncharacterized. The transcript is spliced from 2 exons. Lineage: Eukaryota; Metazoa; Porifera; Demospongiae; Haplosclerida; Niphatidae. The record is from RefSeq and is a predicted model, not a curated record.
AGAAAGAUUUUAUGUCACUACAGCUCUCAGUAGUUCAGUCUAAGAACCAUACUGAGAGUCUCUAGGAGUUUGUACAAGGUGACAUGCUUGAGGGGGACAACAGGCACCUUUGUGGAGAGUUUCAAGAGAAGAGGGACACUUUAAAGCGUACAUGCAUCAAGACUCCUC